This 492-nucleotide ribosomal RNA is filed under the name uncultured bacterium. RNAcentral describes it as "bacterial SSU rRNA". It matches the Rfam family "Bacterial small subunit ribosomal RNA", at positions 28 to 507 of the family's 1533-position model. The record is from RNAcentral.
GAUGAACGCUAGCUACAGGCUUAACACAUGCAAGUCGAGGGGAAACGACAUCGAAAGCUUGCUUUUGGUGGGCGUCGACCGGCGCACGGGUGAGUAACGCGUAUCCAACCUGCCCACCACUUGGGGAUAACCUUGCGAAAGUAAGACUAAUACCCAAUGAUAUCCCACGAAGGCAUCCGAAUGGGAUUAAAGAUUUAUCGGUGAUGGAUGGGGAUGCGUCUGAUUAGCUUGUUGGCGGGGUAACGGCCCACCAAGGCAACGAUCAGUAGGGGUUCUGAGAGGAAGGUCCCCCACAUUGGAACUGAGACACGGUCCAAACUCCUACGGGAGGCAGCAGUGAGGAAUAUUGGUCAAUGGGCGAGAGCCUGAACCAGCCAAGUAGCGUGCAGGAUGACGGCCCUAUGGGUUGUAAACUGCUUUUAUAAGGGAAUAAAGUGAGUCUCGUGAGACUUUUUGCAUGUAUCUUAUGAAUAAGGACCGGCUAAUUCCGUG